UGUCAGGGACACAAGGUGACACAGCCUGUCUGCCACUGCUGGAGCAAUCCCAGCAGUGUGGCACUGCAGGGCCUGGCUCACCACCAGAACAAGAGAGAAACAUCUUUUCCUGUUUUGUGUGGCUGUGACAACCUGGUCAGAGAGCGAGAAAACGAGAUAAGUUUUCCCAGAAUCAUCCUGAGAGACUUUAGGGAGUUAAAGAUAAACAAUGAUAGCUUAUUAUAAAUGUUGGUUGUCCUACUCUCUGUUUUCUUGUUUUUCUCAAAGAUUGUUUAUAAAAAGGGUAUCUUGGUAAAUAGCCAGUCAGGUGAAAGAUACUAACUAAAUGACCAAUCCAGUACACCUGGAUCAGAAGAGUGUAUGUAAAGGAAGCAAUCCAAAUUAAAUGGCAUGUUUUACCAAUCAGCCUUCUAGUAAACCUGUGCCAUUUCUUAUCCAACAGUGACAUUUUGUGUCCGGACUUGUCCCACAGCAUCCCCAGAGGAGAAGGUGUUCUGGUGUUCCAGAAUCUCAGAUUCUAUCCAGAGCUUGUUGGCAGGACAAAGAAUGGCAACUGAGCCGAGAUGCCUGUUCCAGAUUGACACCGGUGAAUUCUGCUGCUGUAAUCACCCGAGGAGCAUUUAUCACCUCCUCAGACCAUAAUGUGGGGAGCAGGUGUCUGACCUGCAAUGACAAAAGCACGGAGUGGCGGCAGGAAGGGAGGAAAUAGAUAAGAUGUCAUUUAUCCAGCACGAUUUUUCUCUCUUUAAUGUUCCCCUAGAUUAUGGGAAACAAUCAUGGGAUGGGGGACGCUGGUGUUUUAUGGUGUCAGAAGGGUUUAAGGUUUUAGGUGUAAAAAAAAAGUGAUGUUGGAUCUCGCUGUAUUAUGGGGUAUUUAUAGGACACACUAAGUUGGGGUUUUUCCAGUUUAUUUACUUGAGUCAGGAAAGAUAAAUGGGUGUCUGGAUCCGAGUACUUGUAUCCAAAGGAAAUUAAAAGAAACACAGUUCUCUUGAACUUGGCCUCCACUUAGGGCAGAGAAAUGACACAGAAAUGACCCUUCUCAGAUUAAAGGACUGCUCAUGCCUCAAAGGAGGUGGUAGAAAUUAGUCUGUAAAAAUUCUUUCCUUCCCAUAUUACACAUUUUCUGCUUUUCUUCAUCUCUGCUUUAAGAGAUACAAAAAUCCACCAGCUUUGCUGUGCUCUCUGGUGGCAUUUCUGAGCACACUCCUCCAUGAGUGCUGCUUUGGUGCUGACUUCACUCUUCCAUCGAUGAACAUAUUUCAAGAUGGAAAACAGUUUUAACUUUCCUGAUCUGCAGUUUUGGGUUUAAAACCUCAUCUCUCAUUUUAAUAAUAGCAAUAAUCCUGUUCUGAGCUGCUUUCAUGUUUUCCAUCUGAAGAGCUGGCAAAUGUCCUACUCAUUUAAGCAUCACAACAUCCUGAGGGCCAGUGAGUGCAAGCUGCCAGGAGUCAGAUCCAGUUCACUGCCCAAAUCAGAGCUGGUGGUGUUUGAAACCUUGUUCUAGACUCAUUAUUGCCAUGUCCUGAUGGGAGUGGGGGAACUGAGAGGCAAUGGGAUCCUGCACUGGAUACAGACAGAGAGUCACAGAAUCAUUAAAGAGGGACAUUUAAUUUAAUGAAUUAAAUCAUCAAGUCCAGCUGCCAACCCUGUACCACCACCACGUUCACCACUAAGCCAUGGCCUCAAGUGCCCCAUCCAUGUGGGUUUUGAGCACUUCCAAGGAAGAUGACUCCACUGUUUCCCUGCACAGGUCAUCCAAAUGUGUUACCACCCUUUCUGUGGAAAAAGAAAAAAUAAAAAUCCAUGAAAAGAUGAA
Serinus canaria (Common canary) is the source of this 1819-nucleotide long non-coding RNA. RefSeq lists it as uncharacterized. The transcript has 2 exons. The record is from RefSeq and is a predicted model, not a curated record. Lineage: Eukaryota; Metazoa; Chordata; Aves; Passeriformes; Fringillidae.